ACCACAGCCCCAAAAUUUCCCUAAGCCUCUCGCCAGUCCUCAUGCCCUCUCUUCUCUGCCUCAAAGCCGCACGCCAGUCGCCGCCGUCCAAGAAUCCUCCCCGCUGUCGCAAUCUCCACCUCGCCGCCGUCCAAGCAUCCUCGCCGCUGUCGCAAUCUCCACCUCGCCGCCGUCCAAGCCUAAUCUCUUCUCUGUUUCAGCAAGCACGCAAUCAGUUUCGCUCCUUUGCCAAUCGGCGCCCAUGGCCCAACGCCUCCAAUCAGUUUCGCUCCUCUGCCACAACCACUGACGACUAUCGCCCAUUGUCUCCGACAGAAACGUCGCCGCCAGGGUCUGUCAUUGAAUGAUUUCCGCUGCUUCAUUCGUCUUUCCAAGCUGAGGCCCUAUCAAGGCUUAAUGUAGUCAUAGGACAUCAAAAUGCUCUUCAACCUGAGAACAUAAUGGCAUAUGAUAAUGCUGUCUCUGCACCAGGAACUUGAAGAAGAAACACAAAUGCCCCCUGUUACAAAUCCAUUCUUCCCUUUGAGAAUUAUCUGGAUUUUCAUUCCAGAGUAUUUGGUUUGGAACUUUAAAUAUGUAAUUUCAUUCUUUUCUAACUUUCAAUUAUUUUUAAUUUGAAUUGUAAAUCUGUACUUUCA
Molecule: long non-coding RNA, 638 nt
Organism: Ipomoea triloba (trilobed morning glory)
Lineage: Eukaryota; Viridiplantae; Streptophyta; Magnoliopsida; Solanales; Convolvulaceae
Exons: 3
Source: RefSeq, a predicted model, not a curated record